This is a long non-coding RNA of Chrysemys picta bellii (western painted turtle), 1251 nucleotides long. RefSeq lists it as uncharacterized. Lineage: Eukaryota; Metazoa; Chordata; Testudines; Emydidae. The record is from RefSeq and is a predicted model, not a curated record.
GCGCGCUGUCCGGUGCGAGAGGCUGCAGCGAGAGAAGGGGGUCCCGUCGCUUGCACACUCACCUGUAGCACCUGUCCUCCCCUUUGCACGCUCACCUGUAGCACCUGCCCCCCCCUUUGCACACUCACCUGUAGCGCCUGUCCCCCCUUUGCACACUCACCCGUAGCCCCUACCUGCCCCUUUGCACACUCGCCUGUAAGAGCUGCUUCCACUACUCUUCCACGCGUACUUGCAAGAGGUGCCUUUCCCCUUGCACGCUCACCUCCAGAAGCUGCUCUUCCCCCUGUCUUGCACACUCACCUGCAGCACAUGCCCCCUCCCUCUUGCACACUCACCCACGGGGGCUGCCCUUCCCCCUCUUUCUGCAGGAGCUGCCUUCUCUCCCUUGCACACACACUCCCAGAGAGAGGCCAUGGGCUCACAAGCUUCAUAUAUUAGAUGCAUAGAAUUUCUGCUCCAUGAUGUGACUUUCCCUUGAAUUUUCUUUAAUUGUAAUAAUUUAUUUUGUAUGAGAGCUGGGAUGAGUGAACUGCAAUGCCUCCAUCUUUCUGGAAAUUUACAAAACCAGCACAGAGUUGGGUCUCCUUUGUUGUUUGGAAAGUCAAGCACCUCAGGUGAUGUUAGACUGUGGAGGAUGUUAGACUGUGGAGUCUAUACACAACUCCUGCAAGCCCAGCUCCUUGGUGUCAGACUGUGGUGCAUGGUAAUGAGCAGCCUUUCUGUGGCACCUCUCCUCCGAAGAUCCUCAAAUGCUCCAGAAGCAUUAAUUCUCACAACUGCAUUAUUGUCCCCUUUUUACAGAGAAGAGGGUUAAACCGAGGAACAAGAGGUUAAGUGAGUAACCUUCAGCAAAUCUCUCUGCAAGUCAAUGGCACAGCCAGGAAUAGAACCUAGGAGUCCUGACUCCCAGUCCCUUGCUCUAAGCAAACUGAAUUGGCAAUAUUGUGUGGCUGGGGAAAAACAGACAGUCUGUUUACAUCACCAUCACUGACAGUAACUUUUACAACUGGUAAAAGAGAUGGGUUGGGGGAAAGAGUUUUGUUUAGUCAAGUUUGGGACUGUGCAAAGCUUGAUGGUUUGGGAGCCACGGGGAUAUGAAAACCUGUUUUUUCCCCCCAAUUUCAGUUUAGACCCUCCAUGUUUCAUUCUGAAUUUUGGGUUCAACAGAAAACAAAAACUCAAAGAGAAACUCAACCAAAACUUCCAAAUUUUGCUUGAUUGUGAGUUGAAACUAUGAGUUUAGCAUGGCUU